UGACACAAGUGAGCAUUCCACAAGGU
RNAcentral lists this non-coding RNA (26 nucleotides) under Rattus norvegicus (Norway rat). The record is from RNAcentral. Lineage: Eukaryota; Metazoa; Chordata; Mammalia; Rodentia; Muridae.